This 116-nucleotide ribosomal RNA is filed under the name Pteropus alecto (black flying fox). Lineage: Eukaryota; Metazoa; Chordata; Mammalia; Chiroptera; Pteropodidae. RNAcentral also lists the same sequence under 1 other name. The record is from RNAcentral.
GUCUAUGGCCAUGCCACCCUGAACAAGCCUGAUGUCUAAUCUCGGAAGCUAAGCAGGGUUGGGCCUGGUUGGUACUUGGCUAGGAGACCACCUAGGAAGACCAGGUGCUGUAGGCA